CGGGUAGCCGGCCUGAGAGGGCGACCGGCCACACUGGGACUGAGACACGGUCCCAGACUCCUACGGGAGGCAGCAGUGGGGAAUAUUGCACAAUGGGCGGAAGCCUGAUGCAGCGACGCCGCGUGAGGGAUGACGGCCUUCGGGUUGUAAACCUCUUUCAGCAGGGACGAAGCGCAAGUGACGGUACCUGCAGAAGAAGCGCCGGCCAACUACGUGCCAGCAGCCGCGGUAAGACGUAGGGCGCGAGCGUUGUCCGGAUUUAUUGGGCGUAAAGAGCUCGUAGGCGGCUUGUCGCGUCGACUGUGAAAACCCGUGGCUCAACUGCGGGCCUGCAGUCGAUACGGGCAGGCUAGAGUUCGGUAGGGGAGACUGGAAUUCCUGGUGUAGCGGUGAAAUGCGCAGAUAUCAGGAGGAACACCGGUGGCGAAGGCGGGUCUCUGGGCCGAUACUGACGCUGAGGAGCGAAAGCGUGGGGAGCGAACAGGAUUAGAUACCCUGGUAGUCCACGCUGUAAACGUUGGGCGCUAGGUGUGGGGGGCCUCUCCGGUUCUCUGUGCCGCAGCUAACGCAUUAAGCGCCCCGCCUGGGGAGUACGG
RNAcentral lists this ribosomal RNA (596 nucleotides) under Micromonospora andamanensis. Its description in RNAcentral is "bacterial SSU rRNA". It matches the Rfam family "Bacterial small subunit ribosomal RNA", at positions 280 to 885 of the family's 1533-position model. The record is from RNAcentral. Lineage: Bacteria; Bacillati; Actinomycetota; Actinomycetes; Micromonosporales; Micromonosporaceae.